This 217-nucleotide ribosomal RNA is filed under the name Enterobacter asburiae. RNAcentral describes it as "partial 16S ribosomal RNA". It matches the Rfam family "Bacterial small subunit ribosomal RNA", at positions 1 to 218 of the family's 1533-position model. Lineage: Bacteria; Pseudomonadati; Pseudomonadota; Gammaproteobacteria; Enterobacterales; Enterobacteriaceae. The record is from RNAcentral. RNAcentral also lists the same sequence under 1 other name.
AAAUUGAAGAGUUUGAUCAUGGCUCAGAUUGAACGCUGGCGGCAGGCCUAACACAUGCAAGUCGAGCGGUAGCACAGGGAGCUUGCUCCUGGGUGACGAGCGGCGGACGGGUGAGUAAUGUCUGGGAAACUGCCUGAUGGAGGGGGAUAACUACUGGAAACGGUAGCUAAUACCGCAUAACGUCGCAAGACCAAAGAGGGGGACCUUCGGGCCUCUU